GAUGAAGAACGCAGCGAAAUGCGAUAACUAAUGUGAAUUGCAGAAUUCCGUGAAUCAUCGAGUCUUUGAACGCACAUUGCGCCCCCUGGUAUUCUGGGGGGCAUGCCUGUCCGAGCGUCAUUACAACCCUCAAGCCCGGCUUGUGUAAUGGGCGGCCGUCUCUCCCCCCGGGGGGAGACGCCCCCGAAACUCAGUGGGGAUGUCGCGAUACCGAAGCCUCAGCUAAUGGGUAAACCACAGCUGCAAUGGCCGCGGCCGGCGUCCGCCUUCCACGGUCCGUCCGCCUAGCGCGGGCGGCCUUCUCAAGGUUGACCUCGGAUCAGGUAGGGAUACCCGCUGAACUUAAGCAUAUCAAUAAGCGGAGGA
Molecule: unclassified non-coding RNA, 366 nt
Filed under: soil metagenome
Description: partial contains 5.8S ribosomal RNA, internal transcribed spacer 2, and large subunit ribosomal RNA
Rfam family: 5.8S ribosomal RNA (bases 1-120)
Source: RNAcentral